This 261-nucleotide long non-coding RNA is filed under the name Vigna radiata. Its description in RNAcentral is "long non-coding RNA (VRAD_LNC007229)". Lineage: Eukaryota; Viridiplantae; Streptophyta; Magnoliopsida; Fabales; Fabaceae. The record is from RNAcentral.
GGGGGGUGUAGAUGGAGUCUUGAUCACUUUAAAAUCAUCAUAGGGAUGUUAAAAACCCUCUAAAUAAGUUUAAUUUAGGGUAAAGCACGAUCUAGAGGUCUUAGAAAUUGGGGAAAGGGUCUAGAAUUGGAAAAAAAGGGUGCAAGUGGGCAUAAUCUGCAAAAUUGGGCGUUAUGCAUAUUAUGUAGACUCGCUAAGCGAAUAGUUUCGCAUAGCAAGUCCUUGCAGAGGAGUGGCCUUUGUUUCGUCUCUCGUUAUGCG